AUUGCUAAUUAUGGUCUUCGCCGUUGGAGAUCGGAGAGGCGCGUUUUCAUGACCGUCAUAAUUAUCAAUUGAAACAAGCAUAUCUAGUGAAAUAUUCCGUGGGAAGGCACUGAGCUCUGACUGAGCAAUGUUUUCAUGGCAUGCUUUAUAAAUCAAGAAUCAGUUCCCUCAUAAGAGGAAAGCUCUAUACAACAAAUGCCUCUUCCUCCAGGCAGCCUUCCCAGGAAACGCAGACUGAGGUUUGUUUCAGCUUUUACGAGAAACUUCCUGAUUCCUGACGUGGCCUAACUAUCUAGAAGAGCUUGUCGGAUUCCUUGGGGGCAUUCACCAGGGAAGUUAAAUAUCAGAGAAACUAAGUCCAGAAACCAUCAAGAAACUGAAGCUUCCCAGAGUCUGCCAUCCACCAUGGAGAUAAACAGCCAAGGACAUCCAUCUACGGAAUCCUUUGUCUCCCCACCCCUUGGAGGCAGUCCCAAAUGCAGGCAGAUGGGAAAAUGCUGAACAAGAAGGCCAUGGGCCCCCUCCCCUACCUAAAACCCCAAAUAAAAACUCCUACUCGUUUCUUAACGGGGAGCUAACAAUUCUUAAGGUAGUAGCCGUUGCUUUGCUCUCUCUGCCUGGCAAAGAAAGUAAAGCCUUUCCUUUCCACUCAAGGUUCUGUUCUCCUUAUUUGGAUUGGCAUCGGGUUCAGAGACUGAACUUUCGGUAACAACGCAAUUGUUCCAAAGUGCAGUCAGGAAUGAAUUGUGGAAGCCAAACGGAGACGUGUGAGAGAGAGGUUGAUCCCGCUGGUUUCAGCUGAAGUUGGUUAAAGGAAAAUGUAAAAUUGAAGCAUAAAUUGAUUUACAAUGCCACAAUCUCUAACGACCAAGCUUAUUACCUUAAGUUUUACUUAGUAAAUUAUCAUCUUGGGUGGUCUUUAAUCUGGAUCAUGGCUGCAAAACAGUGUAAAUUGCACUUUAUACCAUUUGUCAUUUGUCGUUAAAACUUUUCUUCUUGAUCCAGUUCUUGUGUGUUCUUUUAAUACACGUUUCAUGAUUUCCCAGAACAAGUCUCUGUUCUCAGUCACUUAUUGGAUAUUUGACAGAAGCUGAAUUUUUACUAGGUAACUUUUAACAACUGUAACAGGUCUCAUCUAGACUGCACGUCACUUAGGGAAGGGACGGUGUGCAUUUAUGCAACUUCCAACACUUAGCACAGUGACUGGCAUAUAGUAAACAUGUUAAUAACCUUCAGUUUGAAUGAAACAAUGUGCCUUUUCCAGGCACCAAAGCCUGUGGUUUGCAAUAAGUCACAAACUUUGGCUUCACGAAGAGCAAUUGUUUAGAU
This 1329-nucleotide long non-coding RNA is filed under the name Equus asinus (donkey). RNAcentral's name for it is "lncRNA (ENSEASG00005035658.1)". Lineage: Eukaryota; Metazoa; Chordata; Mammalia; Perissodactyla; Equidae. The record is from RNAcentral.